AYUGGSGSGGGCYUAAMCAUGCAAGUCGAGCGGCAGCACGGGUACUUGUACCUGGUGGCGAGCGGCGGACGGGUGAGUAAUGCCUAGGAAUCUGCCUGGUAGUGGGGGAUAACGCUCGGAAACGGACGCUAAUACCGCAUACGUCCUACGGGAGAAAGCAGGGGACCUUCGGGCCUUGCGCUAUCAGAUGAGCCUAGGUCGGAUUAGCUAGUUGGUGAGGUAAUGGCUCACCAAGGCGACGAUCCGUAACUGGUCUGAGAGGAUGAUCAGUCACACUGGAACUGAGACACGGUCCAGACUCCUACGGGAGGCAGCAGUGGGGAAUAUUGGACAAUGGGCGAAAGCCUGAUCCAGCCAUGCCGCGUGUGUGAAGAAGGUCUUCGGAUUGUAAAGCACUUUAAGUUGGGAGGAAGGGCAUUAACCUAAUACGUUAGUGUUUUGACGUUACCGACAGAAUAAGCACCGGCUAACUCUGUGCCAGCAGCCGCGGUAAUACAGAGGGUGCAAGCGUUAAUCGGAAUUACUGGGCGUAAAGCGCGCGUAGGUGGUUCGUUAAGUUGGAUGUGAAAUCCCCGGGCUCAACCUGGGAACUGCAUUCAAAACUGUCGAGCUAGAGUAUGGUAGAGGGUGGUGGAAUUUCCUGUGUAGCGGUGAAAUGCGUAGAUAUAGGAAGGAACACCAGUGGCGAAGGCGACCACCUGGACUGAUACUGACACUGAGGUGCGAAAGCGUGGGGAGCAAACAGGAUUAGAUACCCUGGUAGUCCACGCCGUAAACGAUGUCAACUAGCCGUUGGGAGCCUUGAGCUCUUAGUGGCGCAGCUAACGCAUUAAGUUGACCGCCUGGGGAGUACGGCCGCAAGGUUAAAAACUCAAAUGAAUUGACGGGGGCCCGCACAAGCGGUGGAGCAUGUGGUUUAAUUCGAAGCCACGCGAAGAAACCUUACCAGCCUUGACAUCCAAUGAACUUUCCAGAGAUGGAUUGGCUGCCUUCGGCACCAUUGAGACCAGGUUGCCUGCAUGACUUGUCGRUCCAGCAUUCGCKGAUUCCG
RNAcentral lists this ribosomal RNA (1051 nucleotides) under Pseudomonas sp. RNAcentral describes it as "bacterial SSU rRNA". The record is from RNAcentral. Lineage: Bacteria; Pseudomonadati; Pseudomonadota; Gammaproteobacteria; Pseudomonadales; Pseudomonadaceae.